RNAcentral lists this long non-coding RNA (11636 nucleotides) under Homo sapiens (human). Its description in RNAcentral is "non-protein coding PRKCQ-AS1:38". The record is from RNAcentral. Lineage: Eukaryota; Metazoa; Chordata; Mammalia; Primates; Hominidae.
ACCUCUAGCCAGGGACGCGCGCUCGGUCCCCCGCCGUGCGCCCCCGGUCCCGCGCCCAGGCUCCCGCCCCUGGCCUCCUUACCAGCCACUUGUCGCCCAGCUGCGAACUGGAGCGGGAGGCGGCGGCCGGAGGGCCCAGGACAGCCCCGGGAGGGCGGCGAGGCGGAGCAGGAGCGCCCCGGCUCCGGCCACAUUCUCAGAGUCAGGAAAAGGGGCGAGAGGCCACAUGUCUCCCUCUCGCCCAACUGAAAACGAAACGGCGCUCCAGCAGAUUGGGUGGAAAGAGCUGGGUCUCUUUUCUCUGUUUUUCACGCUAGAAAGGGCUUGUAAACAUUGUUCCUUUUAAAAUGACCUACCCCAGGCAUUUGUUUGGGCACACUUCUGUCCUGGGGUCAUCGUUCCUAGGUGGCUUCGGACCUGGGACUUUUCCUGUAUCUGCACAUUGUCGUUUUAUACACAAUUGCCAAGGUGGGACUGCUUUCAACUUUACUGUGCUUGAAGCUGCAAAGCGGAUCCUGUUACAGUGCAAAGAAGAAAUGGCAAACGGAUAACAGCUACUGUGCCUAGAAGAUGGUUCUGCCCUGAUGUUUCCUGGAAUAAUGCUGAGGACUGCCUUUCGGGUAGCCGCCCUAUUCAGUUCACUUCAUCUCGGAAAUACCUGACCCCUGCCUUGGAUCCAGCGGCCCUCCUGAGAGCUGAGGAAGGAGGAAAUCCUAUGUGUCUGCUCCCGGAGCUGCCACAACCCAUCUUCCCACAACUCGGAACUUGGAAAAAGGAACCCAGGACACGACUUUGCUUUUCUUUUGGACCUAGUUGAAGUCACAGCUUGGAGGAAACCAGUUUGCACUAUUUGAUGAGGAAUUUGGCCACCAAACCACUGAUACUUUCCCAAAGGUUUGGCAGAAAUUGUUUUUUGAGUGGCUCACCAGAGUACCCAGAAGAAUCAGUAUGGAAUUAGAGGACAGUGGCCUACCCUAAAUAAAGACAUGAGUGAUGUAUAAAGUCUAGUGUCAAUUUAUUCAGAAAAUAUCAAAAUUAUUCUGGGAGCUAUGGGUCAAAGUUGAUAGGCACAAACAAACAAAAACGAAAGGUAUUUUAAAUUCACAGCUUGGAUAAGUAAAAGGGAGAUGUUGUCAUUUCUCUUCUUCAAUCCAACUUUAGAUUUUCAAGCCGGAAAAAGGGUAAUUAGAAGUUAGAAAUUGUUAUUGCCAGAAAAUAGCUCUAAACCCUGAAAAAAAAAAAAAAAAAAAAAAAAACUGACCCUCCUCUUGGGGAGUGAUAAACCUCAAUUACUGUUGAUAGUAAAACUGAUAUCAACUCUUCGAAACCAGUGAAAGGUGAAUGGAAACCUUACCCUAGGUUAAGGUUUAAAAAAUGUUCAUAAUAUAUAUUUGAAAGUUCCAUUAUUUAAAAUAUUCAUUAGACAUGCUUUGUAAUGUUAAGUUACUUCAAAAAAUCUUACACAAGGGAAGGGAAGUAUGUAUUAUUCCUUCAUUUAAGAGAAAGAUAAUGUGUGAAUAUUAGUUAAUAUUUAUCGUACAUUUACUACCUGUGUCGAAGCGUAGUGUUACACACUUAAUUUCAAUUAUUUAAUUUGAUUCUAACAAUGAAUCCCCUGAGAUGGAUAAUAUCCUCUUCAUUUUACAGAUGAGACAAUUGAGACUUAAAGGUUAAACAAAUGAUUUCCUAAGCUCAUUCAGCUAAUAAACGGUAGGGGACUGCUUGACACCAGUCCAGUUGACCCUCAAAUCCAUGAUUUCUGCCACCAUAUUCACAGAAACAAGACAAGAGCUGAAAAUAUAGCCUGACUCUUGAAACAGUCAAAGAAUUGUGUAUGUUUAUGAAAGUUCUGAUUAAUAAGAUAUUCUGAGGACAAAAGACAAGGCAUGGGUAGAGGGGCAAUGUGUAGAUUAGAAUGUAUCACAAUGCCCACUAAAUAGUAAAACCAUAGAAAAUGAAAUUUAAUCCUUACUGUGUAGAAUAUUUAGAGUAGAUUGUUUUUUCCUCGGUGUCAAUUACUAUUACAACUAUCAAAGAAUGAAAUUAAACAAGAAACGGUUCCUUUGGUUUUUUUUUUUAAAGGUGGGAGUUAUAAAAACAGUAUUUGCCAUCUGGUUUUAGUUAUGGCUGUGGAAAUUCUAUGGGUACAAUUUGUUGUCAUUGUUGUUACCACUACCAAUACAGAGAUGCUAAUUGUAACAUCAGUUUCUAAAUCAGAUAGUGAAUAAUUACAUUUUCAAUGUUUUCUUAACAUAGAUACAAGUUAACAGGAUAUGCUUCUGGCCUGUUUCUGGAUUCUAAGGGUAGAACCAGCAUAAAACUAGUCAGUCCAAGUAUUUCUAAAGAUCCACAGACACAGUUCUCCUGGAUUUGGGAAGCCUAGAGAUAUUAGCACAAUAAUUAAGGCCCAAGGUAAAAGCAACAGCAGCCUGAAAAUGCAAAAGACCAUACAUUUUAAUGGUAAGUCCUCCCCAGGAAGGAUUAAUAAAUCUCAGGAGGAAGAUUUAUUAUCUGUAAAUCCAGGAGGAAGAAAUCAAGAUGAAAACUAUCAUAUUUAUAAAUUUGAUUGUUGCAAUUUUAUAGUUUGACAUAGUGCAAUUGCUUUAGAUUUGAAGGGGAACUUACUUUAGAGUAAGUCACUCAAUCUCUUUUUUGGAAAGGCAAAUGCCACACCUGAUCCUCAUCACUCCCUUCUCCUUUGUCCAUAGCCUGGCUUUAUUCUGCCAUUAACACACACACACACACACACACACACACACACACAAAUUGGGAAGAGGAUUUCUCAUUUUACAGAAAGUAUGCUGGGCUACACAGGAUAUUCUAUCAGGUUUCUUCCAGCUAUAAAAUUCUGAGACUAAAUAUCAAAUUAAAGAAAGUACUAAUUGUCAGCGAUGGGGGAUGUACUGCUAUUUGCUUCUAGUGGUACUCACUGCUCAUUUCCUAUAUUCACUGGUAUAAAAAAAUUUCAAACACCCUCAAAAAAGCCUAUACUGGUGGUACCAGGAAAACGCUGAAAAUCAUUACUUUCUGUGUGGUGUCCAGCUCUUUUGGUUACAUCAUCACUUCGACCAUUCACUUUUAAAGAAAAACUUUUGUGGAACAAAAAUAUAAAGAUUUAUUUUUUUUCUUGGUGGCUUAGCACAGUGGCCUAAUGUGGCUGACCAUGUGCACCUGUUGUGUGAGUCACUUAGACGUGCUUUGUUUCUUGGUCACAGUUGAUCCCUCAACUCAAGCAUCUCACCCUCAAAAUGUUUGUUUGGGACCCAAGAGGCAAACCUUGAGAUGGGUUAUUUCUUUCACCUUGGAUUGGCUCAUCUGCUGGGAGUGGAGCCAAGCUGACAUUUCCUUUCCUUUUUGUCUGCCUAUCACUACGUAGAGGCAGCACAUAAGAGAGGGAAAGCCAUGCGCGUGGAGUCCAGCACAUCACCCAGAAGGCAGAUGUUCUAUCUCCAUUUUACUCAUUAAAACAAACAAAACCACACCUGGAUUGCCUGGUACUUAAAUAAAAUGCACUAUGAUGAUUGAAGAAAAAUAUCUUAUAUUUAAGGAAUAGUUUUAAUAGCUUACAUCUGUAUUUCUAUUAGCUUCCGUUUCUAUUUUUAAUAUUUGUAUAAUAUUAAAAGUAAUUUUAAAAAUGAACUAAUCUUUUUACAUCUCUUAUGAGAAUUUAAUGGAGAUAUGAUGUUUGAAGAUCAAAGAUACGUGGUAUUUGAAAUCAGAAAAUGUGUUUGCUUUUCUACACAGAUUACAAAUAUCAUGCAUUAUUUCACAAACUCUUCUCAAAGUGUUGAUUUUAAAAUUAGUAAAAGGAGGGUAUAUUCAUAUCACAUCCUGGCAUUUUUAUAGGCAAGAUUGAGCAGCUAUAACCUCUAAAGUGCUUUGAUCCCUAUAAGCCUCAAGAAGAGAAUGGUGCAAUUUGAAUUAAUAACUACCCAUUAUAGAGCAUUUGUAUCACAGUAUUUUCCAAAUACUAUCUUAUUUAACCCUACAGCAAUCCUAUGAUAUGGGGAUUAUGUACACAUUACAGAUGAGAACUUGAGGCUCGGAGAAAGUAAAUAACUUACACAAGAUCACAAAGCAAGUGACUGCCAGAGCCAGGAUCAGAACCCAGUCAGGCUUCAUUAGGAGCUCUGCUGAACUCUGUCUAGAGAAUUCUCACCACCUGCUGCAAAGGCUAAAAGAAAGGGUCAUAUUCCACAUGUAGAUUUUGAGAAAUAUUUGUUAUUUUUCUUAUGAUAAAGGUUAUGCAUACACACUCACACACACACACACACACACACAACUAGAAAUUACAGAAAAGAAAAAAGAUUAGCCAGAAUGUCACCACCUAAAGACAGAUAAUAUUUUGGUGUUUUCAAAUAUUCUUUUAUCUAUACUUUUUUGAAUUAUUUUAUUUUAAAAAUAACUUUUACUGGUUGCCUGAUUAUGAAGUAAUAAAUAUUCACCAUAAAUAUUUUGAAAAAUAUAAAACUGUCUAUAAAAGAAAUUUGAAAUGAUUGCUAAUCUCAAAAUAUAGAUACCUGUCAGUACUUUGGCAUUUUAUCCUCCUUGUGGCUGAGGUCACAUAUCUUGAGACUGAAGCACAAAAUUUCUAUACCAUACAGUUUAUAGUUUAGGCCACAACAUCAUUUUUAAAAUUGUUUCUUUGGUUUUUACUUGAUUUGCUGAUGUUUUAUUUUUUAGAAAAUUGCAGAUGUGAUUUUUAGGCAGCUGAUUGGAAUGUUCUGGUUGCUCUGAAUAGGACUAGCUACUUUGUUUUUUACUGAAGGACAAAUAUUAUUCCUACACACAUAAAAAACCUCAAAGAAUGAGUAAUGAUACUGUUUAAAUCUGCCCUUAUAACUCCAAAGAAUGACUUCAAAUUUUCUUUCUUCCAAAGCAACUUUUAAAAGCCUUUCCACUGCACAGUGAAAGAAAACCACAAACUCCUUGUUUAAUAAGUGGGAUCACGUGCUUUUAACACGAGGAAAAGGUCAAUCUGAAGCAACUGAUAUGGAACUGCCAGAGUAGGUACGUAAAUUUAGGAGUUACAUCAAUUUGGGAGGGCUGCAGAAAUGUGGAUCAGAUUUUAAUCACACUGAGGAAGUUUCUUUGAGCAAAAGACGUGAUGGUUGUUCUCUAGAACCUUUCUGUCCUGUCCGUUGCUUUGCCAAGGGAGCUAGAAAAGAAAUAAACAUUUAAGAACUUAAAAGGCUUCUGGAUAAAACUCAGCUUGGUGCAACACAUUUUAGCUAUCACAGCUUUACUCCCAAGCUUCCACCUUUCCUAGGAGCGCAGUAAAAACCUGAGCCAAAGAAACCAAACAAUAGAACUGAAAUUCUUUAAACUUGAGUUCUUGAGGUUAUAGUCUUUGUGCACUCCAUAAAGUCAAAGCCCUAAAAAGAUUUUUAGAAAACAAAACACUUGUAUCUGUAUCUAUUUCCCCAAACCUCUCUACAUUUACUUACCUUUUGCAGACUCAUGCUUUCUCUUUUCCUUGUGAUUGCAUUUGGAUAGAAUGAAGACCUCUCCUACAGUUCUCAACUUAAAUUCUUUCUUUUAUUUCUUAGCUACGAAAGAAAAUUCAAAAAAUUCAAUGCUCUACUUUGUAACUCCCUGGACAUAGUGAGUCCAUUAUGUACAUCAUGAGGAGGGAGUGGAGAAAGUGGAAUUCUUAUGUAAAUUCAUACAGCUUUGGAAAAUGGUUUAGCAGUACCUACUAAAGCUGAGCAUAUGCAAAACCAGUGACCCAGGAAUGUCAUGGGUACAUAACCUACAAAAAUGUAGACAGAUGCGCUAAAAGACAUGUACAACAUGUUCACUGCAGCCCAGUUCAUCAUCACCCCAAAGUGGAAACAUCUCAAGCGUCCACCAGCUGGAGGCUGCACAAUAAAACUGUGGUACUUUCGUCGGUAGAAACAUGCCACAGCUUGAACACACGCUGAAAACAUAACGUCAAGUGAAAGAAGCCAGGUCCCAAAAAAAGACAUACUGUAUGAUUGUAUUUACAUUAAGUCCCAAAACAGGUAAACUGAAUUCAUGCAAUGGAAAGUCAUGAGAGUAGCUACUGCAUCUGGGGAGGCAGGUGGUGGAGUGCCAGGGAAGGAGCACCAGGAUGGCUCAUGGUGCUAUUUUUAUGACUUGAUGUAGGGGAUAGGUAAUAGGUAGGUCCACUUUGGAAAAGUUCAUCUAGCUGUGUAUUUGUGACUUGCAGUCUUUUCUGCAUGUGUCAAUUCCAGUAAAAAGAUUACUUGAAAAUCAAGUAUAAUAUUAUUGUAUUUACAAAGCCCUUUCUACGUAGCCAGAAACAGGGUUGGUUUCCCAGGUGACUGAGAGGUCGUCAGGAGCUUAGUGAGUGGAGGGCAGGGGACAAGUGUGUUCAUUCUCUCUCCCUCUCUCUCUGCUGUUCUGUAAGGUGACAAGUUAGGCUUACUGCCAGUGUGACCUUAAAUAAGCCAUGCAUGCUUUCUGAAUCCUUUUUUCUUAUUUGGUGAGUGACGUGCUAGUUAAAAUGGUGUCUCCAGCCCUUUCCCGUCCUCGCUGCUGUGAUUCAAGCCCCCUCCUUCUCUGUGGGGCUUCCUCCGACCUCUCGAUUUCACUGUCACCUUUCUCUCUUCCUCUCUCUCCUGCUUCCUCCCUGUCCACCCCCAUCUCUGUCCCCCCAGGGCCGAGUUUGUUUUAUAUCUCUUUUGGUAUCUCCUCUGGUUUUCUGGCACCAUGUCUUACGUAGAGCAAAUAAUAAUGCUUUAAAAAAUUCUCGAUAAAGGAAAAAGUUCAGUAAAGUGUGAAUUUCACAUUGUAGUCAGUGGUUAAAUGCCUCAAACACUUAAAAAGUAGAAUUUAUCUCAACCUGGGCAGAAGGCAGUCCAUGCCAAUUUCUAAAUGGAAUCCAAUAGCAAGAAUGCACAAAGAACAAGCAGGAGUGGUGAGGAUUUCCUCACUCUGUCCCUCAGAGGUGGCGCGUCUCAUCUGUGAGGUGAAAGUGUCAUCACGUCAUUGACAUAAAGUAUAAGUACAGGGAACAUAAUCAUCUGGGAGAUUUUAAUUUGAGUUAAUAAGAGAUGAGAUUUUCAGGCUAAAAGUCUUGGGGCUGGACAAAGAAUAUUUAAAAGGAGGGUUGGUGGAUAAAGAAACUGUGGUAUAUUUAUACGAUGGAAGACUACUUGGCCAUAAAAAGGAAUGAAUUAACAGCAUUUGCAGUGACCUGGAGAUUGGAGACUAUUAUUCUAAGUGAAGUAAUUCAGAAAUGGAAAACCAAACAUCAUAUGUUCUCACUGAUAUGUGGGAGCUAAGCUAUGAGGAUGCAAAGGCAAAAGAAUGAUACAAUGGACUUUGGGGACUUGGGGGGAAGGGUAGGGGGCGGCGAGACAUAAAGACUAGAAAUAUGGUGCAAAGUAUAUUGCUUGGGUGAUGGGUGUACCAAAAUCUCACAAAUCACCACUAAAGAACUUACUCCUGUAACCAAAUACCACCUGUACCCCAAAAACUUAUGGAAAAAUAAAUAAAAGAGGGUUGGAUGAUAAGAAUUUGUCAUCUUGUUUUCUGAAUUGUUCAAUUGUACUUAAUUGUACUUCUUUCCUUAAGGAGUUGAAAAUCUUCCUAAACUGCUGGAGGAUACACCUCUGAUAGCUUGAGACAAAUAUCCUCUUGAUCAUUGUUUCACCAUAUUUGUCUUUGCUCAUGGAGAACCAUUUUGAUCCGUGGUUUAGCCUCCCAGGUGAUUGAACAAUACCGGUGAUCUGAGGCAGACCCUCUGUGACGGAUAACAGGAAAGAAUAUUGAUUGAACAUCUACUCAAGAACUGCAAAACAGAGAUUACCUGACCUAAAGCAUUUAUAUUGCCAAUCAUGUUGGAGAGUCCAUGUGGUGAUUUCUGAAAACGAGAUGUGAGAAAGAAGAGGAUAAUUUAAGUCUAGACCUACAGAUUGUGCUGAUAAAGUGAUGAAGAACUACAAUCUUCUUAGUCAUUUCAUUGUAUAAGUGCAAUAAAGGAUUUUGUGUCUUUCCUGGCAAACAACUUGUGACCACAGUGAUGGCUCCAGCAGAAUGGAAAAGACCCUUUACCUCACAUCUCAGAAGUAAAGAUGCUGAUUAUUUGACAUCGCCAUUGGAAUCUCAAAACAGUGUAAAGCAUUUGCUAAAAAGAGUCACUUUCUGAGAAAUGACUCAGAAUUCGACUUACGUACUAGCAGAACUUAUUGCCCAUAAAAGGAAAGGCCACACUUUUUGUGAAAACUUAAUAAUCCCUAGGAUGUAAAAUUAUACUGAGUUAAAUCCUAGUCCCAUUUUUAGUACAAGAAACUGGAAAAAAAUAAUCCACUCUCAAAUGGUAAGACAAAUUGAGAUAUUGCUGAAAAGCCUCUUGACCCUGAAAAGUUCUGAAUAAUAAACUGAUAAAAGCAGCAGCAGCAUCUAACUUGACACCAGUCAUGUCAUUUGUAAGUAAGGUUGGUAAAUAGUAAUGAAAUUCAAGCAAUAUUUUCAGCUAUGAAGAGCUGCUCAAACCAAGCAAAGGCCAAGAUCUACUUUAAAUUUUGUCUACGUAUCUUUAAACAAGGCAUCUGUCUUGGGGGCAUUGUGUUAGCAUCUGUACCGGUAACACCUCAUCCAGGGUUGGCUUGAUAAGAGGCUUCACAUUUUUUGUAGAAUAAGAAAAAAACCUGGCAUUGUCACAACACACUGAUUUGUUCAUGCAGUAGUGCUUGGGGUCAAAAACUCUUGGAAUGACCAGGCAGAGUGGCUCACACCUGUAAUCUCUGCACUUUGGGAGGUCAAGGUGGGCGGAUCACUUGAGGUAAGGAGUUCAAGACCAGCCUGGCCAAUAGGGUGAAACCCCAUCUCUCUUUUUUUUUUAAAUUAUACUUUAAGUUCUAGGGUACAUGUGCACAAUGUGCAGGUUUGUUACAUAUGUAUACAUGUGCCAUGUUGGUGUGCUGCACCCAUUAACUCGUCAUUUACAUUAGAUAUAUCUUCUAAUGUUAUCCCUUCCCCCUCCCUCACGCUGCGACAGGCCCCGGUGUGUGAUGUUCCCCUUCCUGUGUCCAGGUGUUCUCUUUGUUCAAUUCCCACCUAUGAGUGAGAACAUGCAGUGUUUGGUUUUCUGUCCUUGCAAUAGUUUGCUCAGAAUUUUUUAAACCCCAUCUCUACUAAAAAUACAAAAAUUAGACAGGUGUGGUGGCGGGCACCUAUAGUCCCAGGUACUUGGGAGGCUGAGGCACUAGAAUCACUUGAACCAAGGAGGCGGAGGUUGGGGUGAGUUGAGAUUUCGCCACUGCACUCCAGCCUGGACAACAGAGUGAGACUCUGUCUCAAAAAAAAAAAAUAAAGAAAAGAAAGUAACAAAAGGUUUGAAUGCUCCUGCAAAUACAGUCAAACAGGGAUAAGUUCAACUGAGAUUUUUAAAAUUUUGUGAAAAGUCAGAUAAAGAGACAUCAUCUUCUCCUCCAAACAGAAAUGUCAUGACUGUGCUUGAGGGAUACUUUCAAGAUGACACAAAACCAGGUUUUUGGAGUGCUUUGAAGAUGGAGAAUGGCUUAUUAACACUAGUCACAUUGGCAGAUGUUUUUCAUAACAUCAACCAGUUGAAUAAGCCUCUGCACAGCCCUGGAGAAAAUGUUUUCACCAAAAAUGUCAAGAGUUUUUGGAUUUAAAAGAAAACUAAAGUUUUGGAAAAAACCAUGAGGCAAAAGAAAUCCUUGAGAUGUUUCCAUUGUUGCUUGGGCCUGGGGCCAUCAGUAAGUCUCAAUUCUUAUUGAGCAGAACCUGGCAGCACUGUAGAAUGAAACUGAACCAUACCUACCCUCUCUUUAAACACAAGUGCAUGACCAGGCGAGGGAGCGUUUCGUUGAAUCUUUGACUCAGUCUGAGAACAGAGUCUGGAGAGAAGAGGAAGAAUCCUGCACCCCAUGCAACCCCAGACUCUCUAGAUGGGACUCACAUAUCACUCUGGAGGCGAGUCCUGGGUUUCUGGGUAAGAGAGUGCUCUGUCAGCCUCAGGGAAACCAUGAACACUUCACUGCAGUUGCAACUUCCCGCACAUAGGAACAAAUUUUCUGUUAUUUAAUAAACACCAAGAGCAAGGGAAAAAGUUGUAGCCCUUCAGUUGACAAUGACAUCUGUGUGUACCUCAAGUUUGACUCAGAAUUGAAUUUUUAGGCAGCACAUGUGUCACAUUAAAGAAGGUCAAGUUGAUCACCAAUGACCAAUGGUUUAAUCAGUCACGGCUUCGUAAAAACUAAAAAGGACAGAAUUCAGAGGGCUUGCAGUUAGUGGAACACGUGGAGGGCCCUGGAGGGUGUCAUGCCCAGGACAUGAUAGCUCUGUACCCCAUCCCAUGUAUCUCACCAUAUGCAUCUCUUCAUCUGUGUCCUUUGCAACAUUCUUUAGAAUAAACCAGUAAAUGUGUUUCCCUGAGUCCUGUGGGCUGCUCUUGCAAAUUAAUCAAACCCAGGGAGAGUCGUGGAAACCCUGACUUGAUGCCAGUUGGUCAGAGUUCAGGAGGCUUGGACUUGCAACUAGGAGGAAGGAGGGGGUUGGGGACUGAGCCUACAACCAAUGGGAUUGGUCACUAUCUCCAGGUAGAUAGAGUUGGAAUUCAGUUGGAGGACACCCAGCUGGUGUCCACUGCUUGGUGGUGAGAAGAAACUCCCACACCUUUGGUCACAGAAGUCUUCUGUGUUUAUUGUUCUAGUGUGAGAACAGAGGAGAAGCCUGGUUUGAGUGAGUUUUUCCUGAAGCAAAAGGGAAGAGCUUAAUUUCAAAAGGAAUAUCUUGAAAGACGCAUCAACUCACCAUUAGAAAACAUGAAACGACAGAUUAUAUCCUAAGAUUGUGUGAACCUCUUACCUGGAAACCCGUACAAUUGCUUUAUCUACCAAUCCUAAACUAUUAUAUCUUGAUCUUUACUCAAUCCUAAUUACACACCCACAUUGAAAGACCUAUCUUAAUUCAGACUUCAAAAUCUUACAAACGUCCAAGUCCCUCCUUUGAAAUGCUACUAAGACUGCAGUAAGAAUACAUAGCAUGCAGUGACUGAGAGGAAGAGAGAUACUAACACUUGAAGUAAUCCAGUCUAUCAAUAGGAGAUGGACUGCUUUGAUUUAAAGCGAUUUACAAAAGGAUUUGGAUACCUCAUCUCUCCUGUUUCGCCAAGGUCUUGACUCAUCGCUGCAGGUUGUAUAAUUAGUCUCAUUAAUCUAGCAAAUGAUGGCAAAAUGCUUGGUAAUGAUGUCUAACUGGGGUUCCUUUCCAAGGAACCUUUGUUGUUUAAUUAGGAGAUAAUGGAUGAGCUUGUAGAGAGACCAGGGUUAUAAAAGGCAGUAGCAUGUCAAUGUGCCCAUGCCUAGUUCAAUACAAUGGUUUUUAAGCCAAGUAUUCAAAUAAAUUGACAUUAUGUAGGUACAUGAAUUUAAAAGGGGUCAUUAUUCACUAACUAUAUUUUAACAUAUGCUUAGAGCAACCCAUUACUGCUGGGGAUAAUAAACGGUGCCCAGAUGAACAACCACAUUGCAUACAAAGGAUGGUGUCUGAGAUCACUACUGGGCCCGACUUAGCCACCAUCUUUCCAAAUAGAAUCAUAGGUUUGGAAAUUUAUCCCUUCUAUGGAUGAAGCACCAAACUAUUAAACUGCAAAACCAUUCUGUAUUUAUUCUUUCCAG